UGGGGAAUAUUGCACAAUGGGCGCAAGCCUGAUGCAGCCAUGCCGCGUGUAUGAAGAAGGCCUUCGGGUUGUAAAGUACUUUCAGCGGGGAGGAAGGCGAUAAGGUUAAUAACCUUGUCGAUUGACGUUACCCGCAGAAGAAGCACCGGCUAACUCCGUGCCAGCAGCCGCGGUAAUACGGAGGGUGCAAGCGUUAAUCGGAAUUACUGGGCGUAAAGCGCACGCAGGCGGUCUGUCAAGUCGGAUGUGAAAUCCCCGGGCUCAACCUGGGAACUGCAUUCGAAACUGGCAGGCUAGAGUCUUGUAGAGGGGGGUAGAAUUCCAGGUGUAGCGGUGAAAUGCGUAGAGAUCUGGAGGAAUACCGGUGGCGAAGGCGGCCCCCUGGACAAAAACUGACGCUCAGGUGCGAAAGCGUGGGGAGCAAACA
This 427-nucleotide ribosomal RNA is filed under the name uncultured bacterium. Its description in RNAcentral is "partial 16S ribosomal RNA". It matches the Rfam family "Bacterial small subunit ribosomal RNA", at positions 355 to 774 of the family's 1533-position model. The record is from RNAcentral.